UUUAAAAGUAGAUUCGCGGGUUUUACAAAAAAUAUCAUUGUCUUUCAGUGAAGAACAACACGAGACAAUAAUGUUACACUGCAUGCAACUAUGUAUUGCAAGGUGUUUCACUUUUUCCAAGUGAUAAGAGAAAUUUCAAAAAAAAAAUCUAAUGUCUUUAAAAAUAGAUGUAAUGGCCCAUUUUUGCCUGGCAACCAAGAAUCGAAUAAUAAAAAACCAAAUAAAAGCCCAAAAUUAAACAGUCCAUUAUAACAAAAUUAACCCAAAAUUUCAACCCAAUAGUAAAAACCCUAAGCCCAAGGCUUAUAGCCUAAACAAUUUCAGCAGAAAAAAAGAAGCCUUGGAACCCUAGCCGCACGCCUUGCUGCAGUAGCCUCGCACGCCUCUGCCGCCGCCUGCAUCCACGCGUCUAACAUCUGCAAAACGAAGAACAACACGCAACAAUGAAUAAUCCAAAUAGCAAGACGACAAAAAAAUAGAGAUUAACAGUUGUAAUCAGCUAUAAAAGGCCAAAGAUCAUCACUGUAAUUCUUCUUCCCCUUUAACGAACAUUUUCAGAAAAUAAAAAAAAAGGCAUUUAAGGUGACUUACAUUUUUCUGUUUCAGAUCUGUUUUUAUUUUUUUUAUUUUUUUUCUCUAUUCUGAAUAUAUAAACAAAGGUAAAAAAGAAAGGGAAACGGACUCACCGGAGUGGAUACGUGCCCUCGUCGUCGGAGGGUUUCUCCGUUGGUGACGAAACCCGUCGUUGAAAGGGCUGAUAGUUUUUUUUUUGUUUUUUUUUGGGUGAUUUAAGGCCAGAUUCGGGUUAAAGGGUCAAAAAUAGGAUUAAAAAAAACAUUUUUAACUUCGCCGGCCACCGUACACGGCGGCGCCGGAAACCGACACGGUGGCCCUCGGUCGGGACCUUAGGCCGGAUAGGGGUUCUUUCUUUUUGUUUUGAGAGAAAAGGGGAGCUUUGAAUUUUUUGUUUUUA
Molecule: long non-coding RNA, 973 nt
Filed under: Gossypium barbadense (sea-island cotton)
Lineage: Eukaryota; Viridiplantae; Streptophyta; Magnoliopsida; Malvales; Malvaceae
Description: long non-coding RNA (GBAR_LNC015092)
Source: RNAcentral